UGCAAGUCGAACGGUAGCACAGAGAGCUUGCUCUCGGGUGACGAGUGGCGGACGGGUGAGUGAUGUCUGGGAAACUGCCUGAUGGAGGGGGAUAACUACUGGAAACGGUAGCUAAUACCGCAUAACGUCGCAAGACCAAAGAGGGGGACCUUCGGGCCUCUUGCCAUCAGAUGUGCCCAGAUGGGAUUAGCUAGUAGGUGGGGUAACGGCUCACCUAGGCGACGAUCCCUAGCUGGUCUGAGAGGAUGACCAGCCACACUGGAACUGAGACACGGUCCAGACUCCUACGGGAGGCAGCAGUGGGGAAUAUUGCACAAUGGGCGCAAGCCUGAUGCAGCCAUGCCGCGUGUAUGAAGAAGGCCUUCGGGUUGUAAAGUACUUUCAGCGGGGAGGAAGGUGUUGUGGUUAAUAACCGCAGCAAUUGACGUUACCCGCAGAAGAAGCACCGGCUAACUCCGUGCCAGCAGCCGCGGUAAUACGGAGGGUGCAAGCGUUAAUCGGAAUUACUGGGCGUAAAGCGCACGCAGGCGGUCUGUCAAGUCGGAUGUGAAAUCCCCGGGCUCAACCUGGGAACUGCAUUCCGAAACUGGCAGGCUAGAGUCUUGUAGAGGGGGGUAGAAUUCCAGGUGUAGCGGUGAAAUGCGUAGAGAUCUGGAGGAAUACCGGUGGCGAAGCCGGCCCCCUGGACAAAGACUGACGCUCAGGUGCGAAAGCGUGGGAGCAAACAGGAUUAGAUACCCUGGUAGUCCACGCCGUAAACGAUGUCGACUU
This 771-nucleotide ribosomal RNA is filed under the name uncultured bacterium. Its description in RNAcentral is "bacterial SSU rRNA". It matches the Rfam family "Bacterial small subunit ribosomal RNA", at positions 56 to 818 of the family's 1533-position model. The record is from RNAcentral.